This 71-nucleotide transfer RNA is filed under the name Loxodonta africana (African savanna elephant). It matches the Rfam family "tRNA". From Rfam's summary of the family: Transfer RNA (tRNA) molecules are approximately 80 nucleotides in length. Their secondary structure includes four short double-helical elements and three loops (D, anti-codon, and T loops). Lineage: Eukaryota; Metazoa; Chordata; Mammalia; Proboscidea; Elephantidae. The record is from Rfam by way of RNAcentral.
GCUAUGGUGGUUCAGUGGUAGAAUUCUUGUCUACUAUGCUGGAGUCUUGGGUUUGAUUCCCAUCCAGUGCA